This 501-nucleotide ribosomal RNA is filed under the name uncultured bacterium. RNAcentral's name for it is "partial 16S ribosomal RNA". It matches the Rfam family "Bacterial small subunit ribosomal RNA", at positions 30 to 523 of the family's 1533-position model. The record is from RNAcentral.
AUUGAACGCUGGCGGCAUGCCUUACACAUGCAAGUCGAACGGCAGCACGGGUGCUUGCACCUGGUGGCGAGUGGCGAACGGGCGAGUAAUAUAUCGGAACGUACCUUAUCGUGGGGGAUAACGCAGCGAAAGCUGUGCUAAUACCGCAUAAUCCCUAAGGGGGCAAGCAGGGGACCGUAAGGCCUUGCGCGAUUAGAGCGGCCGAUACCUGAUUAGCUAGUUGGUGAGGUAAAGGCUCACCAAGGCAACGAUCAGUAGCUGGUCUGCGAGGACGAUCAGCCACACUGGGACUGAGACACGGCCCAGACUCCUACGGGAGGCAGCAGUGGGGAAUUUUGGACAAUGGGGGCAACCCUGAUCCAGCAAUGCCGCGUGAGUGAAGAAGGCCUUCGGGUUGUAAAGCUCUUUUGUCAGGGAAGAAACAGCAGCUCUAAUACAGUAUGCGAAUGACGGUACCUGAAGAAUAAGCACCGGCUAACUACGUGCCAGCCGCCGCCGUAA